GACAGAGGCCUCAAGCGUUAGGCGGAAUCACUGGGCUUAAAGCGUGUGUAGGCGGAUCGUUAAGUGUCUUGUGAAAUCCCACGGCUCACCCGUGGAACGGCUGGGCAUACUGGCGAUCUUGGGCCAACUAGGGGCAACUGGAACAAGCGGUGGAGCGGUGAAAUGCGUAGAUAUCGCUUGGAACGCCAUAGGUGAAAACAGGUUGCUGGGGUUGUGCCGACGCUGAGACACGAAAGCCAGGGGAGCAAACGGG
This 253-nucleotide ribosomal RNA is filed under the name uncultured bacterium. RNAcentral describes it as "partial 16S ribosomal RNA". It matches the Rfam family "Bacterial small subunit ribosomal RNA", at positions 524 to 776 of the family's 1533-position model. The record is from RNAcentral.